UUAUGACAGACCUAAUGUGUUAAAUUUAAAAUUUAAAUAUGAAUACUUCUUUUAGUA
Molecule: transfer RNA, 57 nt
Filed under: Neotrioza shuiliensis
Lineage: Eukaryota; Metazoa; Arthropoda; Insecta; Hemiptera; Triozidae
Description: tRNA-Leu
Source: RNAcentral